Molecule: ribosomal RNA, 1133 nt
Filed under: uncultured organism
Description: bacterial SSU rRNA
Rfam family: Bacterial small subunit ribosomal RNA
Source: RNAcentral
CCUGAUCCUGGGAAUAACCCUCGGAAACGAGGGCUAAUACCGAAUGUGGCGAACGACCGGUUGGUCGCUCGCUAAAGGUGGCCUCUUCUAUGCUGCCGGGUUGGGAUCGGCCCGCGUCCCAUUAGCUAGUUGGUGAGGUAACGGCUCACCAAGGCCACGAUGGGUAGCCGGCCUGAGAGGGUGUACGGCCACACUGGCACUGAGACAAGGGCCAGUCCCCUAUGGGAGGCGCAGGCGGGAAUAGUUCACAAUGGGCGAAAGCCUGAUGACGCGACGCCGCGUGAGCGAAGAAGACCUUCGGGUUGUAAAGCUCUGUCAGGAGGGAAGAAGGCUCUACGGGUCAAUAGCCCGUGGGAUUGACGGUACCUCCAGAGGAAGCCCCGGCUAAAUACGUGCCAGCAGCCGCGGUAAUACGUAUGGGGCAAGCGUUGUCCGGAUUUACUGGGCGUAAAGGGCGCGUAGGCGGUUUGUUAAGUCGAAGGUGAAAUCCUCGGGCUCAACUCGAGAAUUGCCUUCGAUACUGGCAAACUAGAGUGGCGGAGAGGAAAGCGGAACUCUUGGUGUAACGGUGGAAUGUGUAGAUAUCAAGAGGAACACCGGUGGCGAAGGCGGCUUUCUGGACGCACACUGACGCUCAGGCGCGAAAGCGUGGGUAGCAAACAGGAUUAGAUACCCUGGUAGUCCACGCCAUAAACGAUGGGUACUAGGUGUCGGGGGUAUCGACCCCUCCGGUGCCGCAGUUAACGCACUAAGUACCCCGCCUGGGGAUUAUGGUCGCAAGGCUGAAACUCAAAGGAGUUGACGGGGCCCCGCACAAGCGGUGGAGCAUGUGGUUUAAUUCGACGCAACGCGAAGAACCUUACCUGGGCUUGACAUGCUUGGGACAGCGCUGGAAACAGCGUCUCUCCUUCGGGAGCCCUUGCACAGGUGCUGCAUGGCUGUCGUCAGCUCGUGUCGUGAGAUGUUGGGUUAAGUCCCGCAACGAGCGCAACCCUCGUUACUAGUUGCCAUCAGUUCGGCUGGGCACUCUAGUGAGACUGCCGGUGAUANACCGGAGGAAGGUGAGGAUGAUGUCAAGUCAUCAUGGCCCUUACGCCCAGGGCUACACACGUGCUACAAUGGUCGGCACAAAG